Long non-coding RNA from Patella vulgata (common limpet), 420 nucleotides. RefSeq lists it as uncharacterized. The record is from RefSeq and is a predicted model, not a curated record. The transcript is spliced from 2 exons. Lineage: Eukaryota; Metazoa; Mollusca; Gastropoda; Patellidae.
GAAUUCCGGUGAUUGGUCUACCCGCAAAUAAUUUACGGGGAAUAACUCUGAUUAGUUUCUGAAUUAUUUUUUUCCUGGAAGAAAAGAUUGCUGUAGUGUUAGAGAAGAGGUAGAAAAUGAAGCCAGCAAUAGUAGCAGACGAAAUGUUUCCCGAAGGCGCUGGUCCAUACAUGGACAUAGAAGAGAUUUUGAUGACCUGUUUGAUGACGACGAUUUGUCAUGAUGAUUAGAUGUAGUUAGGAUGGGGAUGAUAAUGAUCUGUUAAACUAAUUGACUUCUGUUAAUAAUAUUUGAUUGAGGCUGUAUGAUUCUUGGAUAAAUUGUGAACCAAAUAGACCAUGCAUUAUUAUAGUGAAAGAGUUUCUAUUCAAGGGGCAUAACUCCUCAGGGAAUAAAACAACUAUGGUUUUUAAACUGAAA